Molecule: ribosomal RNA, 416 nt
Filed under: uncultured bacterium
Lineage: Bacteria
Description: bacterial SSU rRNA
Rfam family: Bacterial small subunit ribosomal RNA
Source: RNAcentral
AACGAACGCUGGCGGCAGGCUUAACACAUGCAAGUCGAACGGGCGUAGCAAUACGUCAGUGGCAGACGGGUGAGUAACACGUGGGAACCUUCCUAGGGGUACGGAACAACUCAGGGAAACUUGAGCUAAUACCGUAUACGUCCGUGAGGAGAAAGAUUUAUCGCCCUUAGACGGGCCCGCGUCGGAUUAGCUAGUUGGUGGGUAACGGCCUACCAAGGCGACGAUCCGUAGCUGAUCUGAGAGGAUGAUCAGCCACACUGGGACUGAGACACGGCCCAGACUCCUACGGGAGGCAGCAGUGGGGAAUCUUGGACAAUGGGCGCAAGCCUGAUCCAGCCAUGCCGCGUGAGUGAAGAAGGCCUCGGGUUGUAAAGCUCUUUGUUCAGGGACGAUAAUGACGGUACCUGAAGAAUAAG